RNAcentral lists this ribosomal RNA (1001 nucleotides) under uncultured Actinomycetes bacterium. RNAcentral describes it as "bacterial SSU rRNA". It matches the Rfam family "Bacterial small subunit ribosomal RNA", at positions 505 to 1500 of the family's 1533-position model. Lineage: Bacteria; Bacillati; Actinomycetota; Actinomycetes. The record is from RNAcentral.
GUGCAGCAGCCGCGGKAAUACGUAGGGCGCAACGUUAUCCGGAAUUAUUGGGCGUAAAGAGCUCGUAGGCGGUUUGUCGCGUCUGCCGUGAAAGUCCGGGGCUUAACUCCGGAUCUGCGGUGGGUACGGGCAGACUAGAGUGCAGUAGGGGAGACUGGAAUUCCUGGUGUAGCGGUGAAAUGCGCAGAUAUCAGGAGGAACACCGAUGGCGAAGGCAGGUCUCUGGGCUGUAACUGACGCUGAGGAGCGAAAGCAUGGGGAGCGAACAGGAUUAGAUACCCUGGUAGUCCAUGCCGUAAACGUUGGGCACUAGGUGUGGGGGACAUUCCACGUUUUCCGCGCCGGUAGCUAACGCAUUAAGUGCCCCGCCUGGGGAGUACGGCCGCAAGGCUAAAAACUCAAAGGAAUUGACGGGGGCCCGCACAAGCGGCGGAGCAUGCGGAUUAAUUCGAUGCAACGCGAAGAACCUUACCAAGGCUUGACAUGAACCGGAAUGAUGCAGAGAUGUGUCAGCCACUUGUGGCCGGGUUUACAGGUGGUGCAUGGUUGUCGUCGGCUCGUGUCGUGAGAUGUUGGGUUAAGUCCCGCAACGAGCGCAACCCUCGUUCCAUGUUGCCAGCGGGUUAUGCCGGGGACUCAUGGGAAACUGCCGGGGUCAACUCGGAGGAAGGUGGGGACGACGUCAAAUCAUCAUGCCCCUUAUGUCUUGGGCUUCACGCAUGCUACAAUGGCCGGUACAAAGGGUUGCGAUACUGUGAGGUGGAGCUAAUCCCAAAAAGCCGGUCUCAGUUCGGAUUGAGGUCUGCAACUCGACCUCAUGAAGUUGGAGUCGCUAGUAAUCGCAGACCAGCAACGCUGCGGUGAAUACGUUCCCGGGCCUUGUACACACCGCCCGUCAAGUCACGAAAGUUGGUAACACCCGAAGCCGGUGGCCUAACCCCUUGUGGGAGGGAGCCGUCGAAGGUGGGACCGGCGAUUGGACUAAGCCGUAACAAGUAACC